Molecule: long non-coding RNA, 2554 nt
Organism: Equus caballus (horse)
Lineage: Eukaryota; Metazoa; Chordata; Mammalia; Perissodactyla; Equidae
Source: Ensembl
CUUCCUCUGAGCUCCCAACCUCUUCAACAAACAUCAAAAGGUAGGACUGAAAUGGAGAGUGGGAACACUCAUUUACAGCAGGUUGGAAGAGGAGGGAACUUUUCUUGCUGCCAUUGCGUUCCACAGACGUGGGAAGUACAGCCAAGCAAAGAACCCGCAGAAGGAAAAAAGCUAGGCAUUUGCGAAGAAGUGGGGCCUGCGUUCCAUAUGGCUCGCCGGGGUGCAGAGCAGAUGGCCUGGGCAGCGUGCUCUAAGAGCCGACAGGAGCCAGCAGGCAGCCACUGAGCGUGCCCACCGAAGCCUGCCAUGUGAAAAGGCUUUCCAUCAGUUAGGGCAAGGAAAAGUGAUGAUUUUUAUGUUUAUGAUUCUCUGCUUUAUGCAUUUCUGGAGUGAAAUAAAAUGGCAGGAGGACAGGUGUGAGGAUAAGGUAGAAUAAUCUUUCGAUACGUCUACUGGUGCCGGAAGCCCAAGAAAACAGCUCUGGUUGCUAACGGAGGAGCCUAACGUGUCCCCAGUGAAAGCUGACUUUUGUGUAGUGCUUUAUGUGCCAGGCUUUUAAAAUGUCACAACCUUACUGGGUAGGUUUUAGUUUUGUUCCCAAUUUAAAAUGAGGAAAUGAGGCCCAAAGAGAGAUGCUUGAUCAAUGGUCCUCAGUGAGGCGGAGAGCCAUUCCUGACCUCAGUGUUCACGCAUAGCCGUGACUUCAGGCUACUUCUCCGGGAGAUGUGGACUUGCUGAAGAGCAGGUCCCCUUCUCUGUUAUACAUAUAGAGGGAAGGACAGAAGUCAUUCAUUCAAUCAACAAACAUUUACUGCCUGUCUGCAAUGUGCCAGGUGCCAUCAAGACCAAGUGGAUAUUUGAGGUGUGAGGACUCAGAAGGAUUUACAACCCAGUGAUUCGCAAUAAAAAAAUUUUCCUCCUCUAGAGAAUUCACUUUCACACCCCUUCGAAGUUAAUAUUUUAACAAGAACAGUGCCAUCAUAGUGCUCUGCUCUGCGGUUUGCGAUGGCUUGCUGUGGCAUUCUGGUGCCCUCUCGGGCCUUGCCCUCCGUCCUCAGGGACAUGUGCCUUCUGCGCCCCUCAAACUGGGGCACAUCCUGCUCCUCCCAACACGCCCAACACCUGCCUUCUUCGGCUUCUCUGAUGAUUCUCUUCCAUCUGCCUGGAACAAAUCACCUCUCACCUCAAAAUCCGUCUUGUCCAACUUAAACACAAACUUCCUCCACAAAACUGUCUCAGGACUCUGCCCAUACGCCACACCCAGAAGCUCUGCCCUCCCUGGGGACGUGCAGGACGCCUCGUCCACACCUCUCGGGACAUUGGGUACAUUUUGUCUGCACUGUGAUCAUUUUGUACUGGUCUUACCAACCCUUCUUGCCUGGGAGCUUUUGGGGGGAAGUCCUUUAGUUCAUCCAUCUUUGUGUACCCCAGGAUCUAGCAAUGGGUUGAAUAGAUGGCUGAAUAGGUAAUUUUCCUUGAACACAGUUCUUCUGUAUAUUAAAUCCAGAACCCUGGUUUUUAACCCUGUGGUGAAAAACCAAAUCAUGCCAGAUCGUGAGAAAGAACGUCAUUAUCAAAGGCCAAUCAGAGAUGGAUAACUUUCUCCUGGAACAUUAUGAUAGACAGUUUCUGAAAAGCAGGUGCCACAAAUGGGGAAAUUUUCAGUCUUUUUAGCAAAAUGUAUUGAUUUUUUUCAGAAUGGCAGUGAUUUUCCGUUUAUCCAAGCCUUAUUGCUACAGCUGUUGCUUUUCCAACCUCUCAGCCUCCGUCAUGCCCUCCGAGUUCUGGCAUUCGUCACCUCUGUCCUGUUUUCUUGCAUCACUCCUCAGCUGGGCUCUCUGACUACUGACUGUCUACUAUCAACCACCUCCCUUCACGCUAGAACGUGGUAUUUCUAAAAUAUCACUCUGAAGAGGCAAGAGGCCAUAGCGGUUAAGAGGCCAGACUCUGCAGUCAAUGACACUCAGGUCUGUGUCUCUCUGUGGCCACCCACUAGCUCUGUGACUUUGGACAAAUUACUUCUCCAAGCCUCAUUUUUCUCUUCCACAGUAUUGAAGAAAACAACUCUACUGUCUCAUAGCAUUGUUGUGAAAACUUCUCAUGCAAAAUGCUCAAGUAGCAUGCCUGGCAUAAAGUCUCGACUACUGAAUGCUAUCAUUUUAAUGUCAUUCCUUUGCUUUAAAAAACGAAGAAGAAGAAAAAACUUUAAGUGGAUUCUAAUAGGUUGCAAUAUAAAAUAGCCGAGUCUUGGCUUGGAAUAUAAAAAUAUAAAAUCCUUCCUCUUCCAGCCUCGUUCUAUCCUUACAGCAUGAUUUCCCGCUCCUUCCUUUUAUGUAAGCCCUCCCUUCAGCCAUAAAGAAUUUUUCAAUGUUCCGUGUCAUUCGCUUUCACACCCAUGAAUAUAUUGGUCUCUCUGACUGAAAUUCUCCUGAGCCCACCUGUUAAACUCCUCCAUCCUUCAAGAAUCAAGUACAAGCUCCUUUGUGAAGUCUCCUUAUCACCCCAGACAGAGUUAAGUCCCCCAUUUUGCUCCCAAAGCAUGCUAUUCUUAUUU